UCACUAAAACAUACAUUGGUCCUUGUGGUCUCUACUUGGAUCUAUCCAUCGUUUCGAGAAGGAGGGCGAAGCGAGAAAAUUUAUGAAAUAAAAAGUUGAGAGUGAAGGCCUCUACUUCCUUCUUCUACCAUUUAUAUAUUUUUUUUGGAAAACUGAAAUAAAAUAUAUGAAAUAUAAAGGUCAGAUUUGAAUGGGGGAAUUGCUGCGGUUAUAGCAGAAAAUUUGGAGCCGAUAAAGGAUCACGUUUCUUGAUGCCGAUUUGGUGUGGAUUUGGGACUUUUCUUUGCAUUCUAUGAAGCACUCUGUAUUUAAGAUACAUAUAAUGUUAUAUGUUGAACAGAGGCAAUAGAUGCCAAGCCAAAAGUAAGAAUGGGGACGAACACAUAAUCCAUAUCACCAAGUGUACUAAUUCAAGGUUCAUUGUUCUAAUUCUUAAAUUAAAAUUAAUUUUGUCUUGACUCCAAUUGUUUCAUGUCUUUCUUAACUUCCCAUACAUAGAUAUUGAUAAAGAGCUUCAGGAGGGUCAUUACUAAACAUCUACAAAUUUAUCUAAUUAGAUUGCGUAUGCCUUAGAUUUUUUAUUUAAUUGUUCUGUUUGCAUUCAGGUGUGAUGAUCUAAAUUUUAUAAGAACCCAGUUAGGAAAUUUGAGACCUUUAGCUUGGGGAGUUAGUUAAAUUUGUUAGAUUUUUCAUGGAUUUUGGGAUAAUAUUCUAUUUUUGUUCUAAUUGCUGCAUGAGCUUUGUAGCAGGGAAUUUGGCAUGAGCAGGAGUUUAAGGUCGAAGUGGAAGCGAUUGGCUGUGUUUGCUAUAGGAAUUUAGUGAGGUUGUUUGGUUAUUGUGAGCUCAUAGGGGAUGGACAGAAUACCCAGGCAACAAUCUCUCUGUGAUCAUUGCUGGGAAAAUAUUGUGGUCAUUUUGAGUUCGGAUUCAGUCAACAUGUGGGAAGCGUUUCUUCCGAUUACUUUCAUUUGUUUAUUUGUGAAUCAAUAACUUUUUUAGGAAUAAUGAAUGUCACAAUUGCUGAUAAAUUGAUACUUUGUUGGGAGCUUGAAUUGUAGAUCUAUGCAAGAUAUCCAUAAAUUGAUCAAUGCUAUGGACUCUUCUCAACAUAUGGACCUCAAAUUUCAGUGCGUCUUCCAUCAUUUAUCCUACCUAACUAUGUAUGGAGCUAUUACAUUUGCAAUCAUAUUAAUUCCUUGAAAACAAUAUUUAUAUUUCUUUAUAAACUGCUAAUUUUGGAAUAUACUAUCGUUUCCUUGCUAGUACAUUAAAAUGAAAAUAUGAAAAGUAGUCUCAAUCUCGCCUGGGGGUGUUGCAAGCCGAUUCAAUGCUACGAGGCACUUCAUUUAGGGCUAUCUGAGGGAGAGAGUUGUUGGGUGUCUGAGACAAGGGGUUUUAGGGAUUAGGUUUGGGUGGGAUUUCAAGGAUUAGGUUUUGGUGGGAUUUGAAUGAUUAUGUUUGGGUUUUUGUUUGUGCGAUUGGCAUAGAGAUGAGGAGGGUCCAAGAUAGGAUUUGGAGAUUUGGUUUAGGGUUUGCAGAGUCAGAGAUAAGGGUGUCCAAGAGAGAUGUGGGAGGAUUUAAGCGAGGGAUUUCAGGGAUUUGGUUUAGGGUUUGUUUUCUGUGAUUUGAACAGACAGAGAGAUGGGAGGAUUUUCUGCAAGGCUUGAAGGGAACGGAUAAGGGAGGUAUGGGUAUGGGUUUGUUGUGAUGGGGUUUAGUAAUUUUCAAUAUUCUUAGACUCUUUUUAAUCUGCAAAAUCAAAUUACCUAUGGAAUUUAUAACAUGCAAUUAGUUUCUUUUUA
Molecule: long non-coding RNA, 1802 nt
Organism: Pyrus x bretschneideri (Chinese white pear)
Lineage: Eukaryota; Viridiplantae; Streptophyta; Magnoliopsida; Rosales; Rosaceae
Exons: 5
Source: RefSeq, a predicted model, not a curated record